Paramuricea clavata is the source of this 197-nucleotide non-coding RNA. NCBI's taxonomy places the organism in Eukaryota, Metazoa, Cnidaria, Anthozoa, Malacalcyonacea, Plexauridae. The record is from the annotation of a GenBank genome assembly.
CCACCGUUGGGAAUUGCGUGGAAAACGAAACAUAAACGGAAUUUAUAUAAUUUAACAUAAACGGAAUUAGAUAAUUUAACAUUCAAUUUUAAUUCCCAAAAGGAAUUAAAAUUGAAUGUUAAAUUAUCUAAUUCCGUUUAUGUUAAAUUAUAUAAAUUCCGUUUAUGUUUCGUUUUCCACGCAAUUCCCAACGGUGG